UUCAGUGAACUGGGUUAUCUAUUGGUGGUUCUUCUCAUGUGAAAUCAGCAACCCGCCGCAUGUAAGACAUUGUGUGACUAGCUUCAGGACCAUUCAUUCCCCCUACACCCCUAGCACAACUUGUUCUUUUGCGCCUCUGGUUCCUAUAUCAGGGCCAUACCUUGGUUACUCCUUUAAC
Molecule: long non-coding RNA, 178 nt
Organism: Pygoscelis adeliae (Adelie penguin)
Lineage: Eukaryota; Metazoa; Chordata; Aves; Sphenisciformes; Spheniscidae
Exons: 3
Source: RefSeq, a predicted model, not a curated record